UUUCCCCUGCUGUGUUCGUGAUCAGCGAGGCAACUUAGAACCAACAAAGAAGAAAGGGAAGCUGUCCCUUGCCGCGGCCGUCAGGCCCCUAGCUGUGGGGAAGACUCAAACGGUAAUAUGGCAUCCACCUGUUUACCAGGUUCAAGUUGAUCGCCUGACACGGCACGAUGCGGGGGAAAC
RNAcentral lists this non-coding RNA (180 nucleotides) under bacterium. RNAcentral's name for it is "6S RNA". It matches the Rfam family "6S / SsrS RNA". From Rfam's summary of the family: E. coli 6S RNA was the first non coding RNA to be sequenced, but its function was unknown until recently. It consists of 184 nucleotides that fold into an extended hairpin structure with a large single-stranded internal bulge. The record is from RNAcentral.